Long non-coding RNA from Mercurialis annua (annual mercury), 905 nucleotides. RefSeq lists it as uncharacterized. The record is from RefSeq and is a predicted model, not a curated record. The transcript is spliced from 5 exons. NCBI's taxonomy places the organism in Eukaryota, Viridiplantae, Streptophyta, Magnoliopsida, Malpighiales, Euphorbiaceae.
AAGCCCGAAGUAAAAUAGGAAAACAAUUUUUGUUCAUUUCUUUUCAAGACUCCUUCGGUAAUUAGGGUUUCACGAACCGUAUCUACAAAUUAAAACCACACAACAUCAUUCAAUUAGUUAGGUCUGAUUUAGCUCGAAAUUCAAACAAAUUGCGAUCCAGUCUGAAUCGGCAGCAGCGACGACCAGCAAUCCAGACUGAAUCGGCGGCAGCGACGACCAGCGAGCUGCGAUCCACACUGAAUCGGCGGCAGCGAGGAUGUCCUCUAUAUCAUCAACUUGAUUGAUCAUCGAUUUUAGUUUCAGAUAACAAAAAAGAUGACUCUAGCUAUUGCAAUUGAAGAUGUGAGAAGGGAGGUUAAGAUAUUAAGAGCGUUAACUGGACACAACAAUUUGGUACAGUUUUAUGAUGCAUAUGAAGAUCAUGAUAAUCUGUACAUAGUUAUGGAGUUAUGUGAAGGAGAAAUUAUAACAGACAGUGAAGGAUUAUUUGAAGUUUAGGAAAAUCUAAACAUAUUCCACCAAAGUUUAAACCUAGGUGAUUUCUUGAUGCAUUGUCAUGCAAUUUAUAUCUACCUCGCCUUUGUAUUUGGAGUUGCAGAUCACUGGUAUCGAAGUGAUCUUCAACCACAUUGGAACGCAUUGAAAUGAAGCACUGUUUACAAAUACAAACUGAUUGCAGGCCUCCAUUUUCACAUCAGAAACAAUAUAAGGCCUAGUAAGUAAAAACCAACUUAAUCAGGAAAGCCCAAAGAUAAAUUGUCGUUUUUGGAAUUUUGAGUCGUUUGUUUAUGAUUUGAAGAAAUCGUAGGAGCUUCGCCCCCAAAACUCAAAUUCGAUUUCUAUAAUCAAAAAGUUAAAGACACAAAACCCAGAACCCCAGUUCACUCUUCAUUACUUACUCUAAU